UAGGUGACCUGCGGAAGGAUCAUUGUCAAAACCUGCAAGGCAGUAUGACCCGUGAACCCGUACACCAACCUGGGGAGGCAGGGGAGGUGGGCGUUGGUCCCCUUCCUCUGUUUCCCUCUCUGUUCGGGCAUUGCUCUGAGCCCUCUCAUAGGGGUGAUGAUGCGGUCCCCGGCCUAACAACGAACCCCGGCGCGAACUGCGCCAAGGAAGUUGAACAAGAGAGUGCGACCCCGGGGCCCCGAUCUGCGGGUGCCAAGGGGUAGCGUGCCUUCUAUGAAAUAAGAAAUUAAACGACUCUCGGCAACGGAUAUCUCGGCUCUCGCAUCGAUGAAGAACGUAGCGAAAUGCGAUACUUGGUGUGAAUUGCAGAAUCCCGUGAACCAUCGAGUUUUUGAACGCAAGUUGCGCCCGAAACCAUUAGGUUGAGGGCACGCCUGCCUGGGCGUCUCACAUCACCCUGUGCCCUCCCAGAACUCCUUUUGGCGUCUGGUGUUUGGGGCGUGGUAUAUUGGCCCCCCGUGCUCUAUGGAGUGCGGUCGGCCUAAAAUGACGCACAUGACAUCUGUCGACACAGAACAGUGGUUGGCGAUUA
Molecule: unclassified non-coding RNA, 592 nt
Filed under: Styrax sp. NY206
Lineage: Eukaryota; Viridiplantae; Streptophyta; Magnoliopsida; Ericales; Styracaceae
Description: partial contains internal transcribed spacer 1, 5.8S ribosomal RNA, and internal transcribed spacer 2
Rfam family: 5.8S ribosomal RNA (bases 293-448)
Source: RNAcentral